CCUACGGGGGGCAGCAGUGGGGAAUAUUGCGCAAUGGGCGAAAGCCUGACGCAGCGACGCCGCGUGAGGGAUGAAGGUCUUCGGAUCGUAAACCUCUGUCAGCAGGGAAGAACGGUCACUGUGCUAAUCAGCAGUGAAUUGACGGUACCUGCAAAGGAAGCACCGGCUAACUCCGUGCCAGCAGCCGCGGUAAUACGGAGGGUGCGAGCGUUAAUCGGAAUUACUGGGCGUAAAGCGCUCGUAGGCGGUAUGUCAAGUCAAGGGUGAAAUCCCCGCGCUCAACGUGGGAACUGCCUUUGAAACGGGCAAACUGGAGUGUGUGAGAGGAUAGUGGAAUUCCAGGUGUAGGAGUGAAAGCCGUAGAUAUCUGGAGGAACAUCAGUGGCGAAGGCGACUAUCUGGCACAUAACUGACGCUGAGGAGCGAAAGCGUGGGUAGCAAACAGGAUUAGAUACCCCGGUAGUC
RNAcentral lists this ribosomal RNA (465 nucleotides) under uncultured bacterium. Its description in RNAcentral is "partial 16S ribosomal RNA". It matches the Rfam family "Bacterial small subunit ribosomal RNA", at positions 338 to 795 of the family's 1533-position model. The record is from RNAcentral.